This 253-nucleotide ribosomal RNA is filed under the name uncultured bacterium. RNAcentral describes it as "partial 16S ribosomal RNA". It matches the Rfam family "Bacterial small subunit ribosomal RNA", at positions 524 to 776 of the family's 1533-position model. The record is from RNAcentral.
UACGUAGGGUGCGAGCGUUAAUCGGAAUUACUGGGCGUAAAGCGUGCGCAGGCGGUUCGUUGUGUCGGCGGUGAAAGCCCCGGGCUUAACCUGGGAAUGGCCGUCGAAACUGGCGAACUGGAGUGUGGCAGAGGGGGGUGGAAUUCCGCGUGUAGCAGUGAAAUGCGUAGAGAUCGGGAGGAACAUCUGUGGCGAAGGCGGCCACCUGGACCAGCACUGACACUGAGGCACGAAAGCGUGGGGAGCAAACAGG